GACGAACGCUGGCGGCGUGCUUAACACAUGCAAGUCGAACGGAAAGGCCCCGCUGGGGGUACUCGAGUGGCGAACGGGUGAGUAACACGUGAGUAAGUAGCCCUUGACUUCGGGUUAACUACCGGAAACUAGGGCUAAUACCGGAUAGGAAUCCGUGCUGCAGGGUGGGGGGGGGAAGGCUUCGGCGGUUGUGGAUGGACUCGCGGCGUAUCAGCUUGUUGGUGGGGGAGUGGCUUACCAAGGAGGUGACGGGUAGGCGGCCUGAGAGAGUGAGAGGCCACACAGGGACUGAGAGGCGGCACAGACUCCUACGGGAGGCAACAGUGGGGAAUAUUGCACAAGGAGCGCAGGGCUGAUGCAGAAACGCCGCGUGUGGGAUAACUCCCUUCUCGGGGUAGACACCGUUCAGGCGAGUCGCGGCUUGUGAUGACGGUACCUGAAGAAGAAGCACCGGCUAACUACGUG
This 465-nucleotide ribosomal RNA is filed under the name uncultured bacterium. RNAcentral describes it as "partial 16S ribosomal RNA". It matches the Rfam family "Bacterial small subunit ribosomal RNA", at positions 28 to 507 of the family's 1533-position model. The record is from RNAcentral.